CCUACGGGGUGCAGCAGUGGGGAAUAUUGCACAAUGGGGGAAACCCUGAUGCAGCGACGCCGCGUGAGUGAAGAAGUAUUUCGGUACGUAAAGCUCUAUCAGCAGGGAAGAAAAUGACGGUACCUGACUAAGAAGCCCCGGCUAACUACGUGCCAGCAGCCGCGGUAAUACGUAGGGGGCAAGCGUUAUCCGGAUUUACUGGGUGUAAAGGGAGCGUAGACGGCAGCGCAAGUCUGAUGUGAAAGGUCGGGGCCCAACCCCGGGACUGCAUUGGAAACUGUUGAACUGGAGUACAGGAGAGGUAAGCGGAAUUCCUAGUGUAGCGGUGAAAUGCGUAGAUAUUAGGAGGAACACCAGUGGCGAAGGCGGCUUACUGGACUGUAACUGACGCUGAUGCUCGAAAGCGCGGGUAUCGAACAGGAUUAGAUACCCUUGUAGUC
This 440-nucleotide ribosomal RNA is filed under the name uncultured bacterium. RNAcentral describes it as "partial 16S ribosomal RNA". It matches the Rfam family "Bacterial small subunit ribosomal RNA", at positions 338 to 795 of the family's 1533-position model. The record is from RNAcentral.